RNAcentral lists this long non-coding RNA (2794 nucleotides) under Oryza brachyantha (malo sina). Its description in RNAcentral is "long non-coding RNA (OBRA_LNC001534)". The record is from RNAcentral. Lineage: Eukaryota; Viridiplantae; Streptophyta; Magnoliopsida; Poales; Poaceae.
GCGAAUUGGAAGUCUACCUCCUGAGAGAACAAUGCAUGAAACUUUGGCACAAAACCAAGGCACCAUGCCUUGCUCACGCCAUUGAAUACUCCUUCCAGGUAGAUCUCCAUGUCGCCAUGCAGCUCCGUCGCCACCACAAACUGAAGGGAGGUGUUGUCGCCGCCACCGUAUUUGCCAUCAAAAAGCUCAAUGUCAUCAUCUAUCCAGCCUGCCCGAGCUGUGCAGCGCAAACCAAUGCCUUCGGGAGGCAGAAUGAGCGCCUGAAGCUCAAUGGUAGCCUCGACGCCUUUCGAAAUCAUAGCGAGCUUCAGGCGCAUCACUGGAGUAGAGUGGUUGCCACAAGGUAGAAUGGACAGCUCAUUGACUCUGGACCAUCUGCGCCCCUCUAAACUAGGAUGCUCUACUACUCCUUGGAUCAGCUCAUGGUAACUGUCAAUGCCAUCACCUGUUCUCUUCAUCUCCAGGUUGAACUCAAGCAAGAUAUCAGAAUUACUAUCAAUGGCUCUCCGAGGGCUCAAUGUUGGCAGCCGCAAAACACCCUGAAAAGUUGAUCAGUAUUCCAUAGUUUUCAUCAAUUACGUUUGGAGAAGUUAAUAAGAAGAUUGAGGAAGAGAUGGAGUGCAUACAUGUUGUGAUUGGACAGUCAAUGGGUGAUCCAUUUCUCUGUUGAAAAUGUAAUUGCGUUGUUCAUCUCGGAAGUCCCUAAUAGCGACAAAACCGGAUAUGUCGAGUUUGCAGGAAUGGAGAGAAUCAGCUACAAUGAUCUCGAGGGUGUAGACUUGCAACAUCCUGCUGGGUGAGCAAGUACACCACUCCAAACAAACAAGUCUAGGAUAAAGCUUCCUCUUAGGAUGCAACUUUGCUGGAUUCAAAGAAUUAAUUAAUUAGUAUGGUAUUAUGAUCUGCAACAAACAAAAACUAGAAACCAAGCAAACAAUAACCAGUACCCAGACCUUGUCUUAGAGAAAAGAAUGCAAGACUUGGAGAAAAAGUACGAAACACAGGCAUAUAUUUAGUUACUUGAAUUGCAAAGUUAAGCCUCCUUAGCAAAGCCCCAAGCAGUAACCGAAUUCCUCAACUGGUAAUAACAUACAGCCAGAGAGUUAAGGAAAAGCGGCUGUUUCAUUUCCCGAGUGUUAUUUUUUUCCCUAUAACACUACAUUAAGGCUGUUGUUACCUUGCUAUCUGUGUUACAUUACAUGAAUUGGUAGGCGUUUUCUUAUGUAAGCAGUAAGCACAAUCCAUUUUGCUAUAUAAAGUAUGCUAAUUAAGUUCACAACCAAUAUGUUGGUCAUAGUGAUCACCAUUUUGUACCCAGGUUAACAAGCAGCAAACAAGUGGUGCUCAUGGAGAUGCACUUCAGAUGAAUAUAUAUAUGAACUUACAUUCCAAUUUGUCAGACAAGAUCCAAUAGUGGAACCCUGCGAAAGGUUCACGCACUGGGAGCUCUGCCCUUCUGGUGCUCCUGCUGCCUGGCUUACACAUGAAAUAAUUCCAACCCCUCCUUGGUUCAGGCACCGGUUGUGUGAUCGGCUCCAUGACUAGCUUAAGCCGUUCCUUGCGCCACUCUUCCCUCAUCCUAAUUUCCUCAUCAGUUGGAAACUUGGGUACAUAUGGCUCUGAAACCUUCACCCAAUCAGAUUCCCCAGGAGAUUCAAACAACAAGCUGUACUCACCUUCCCCUUCCCCUUCCACUGAUAGCUUCCCAGAUAGGGAUAACACAUUAUGCCUCAAAUCAUCAUUUUCUUGUUGCAUGUGGUGAUACAAAAGUCCCUGGUCUUCCUCUGCUUCUGAUGCAAAGAUGGAACUAAGUCCAAAAUCCUGUUCUUCCCUGCUAGUCAUUGUGGCAUUUACCUGGCGAAGCUUCCUAUUGAGCUGAACAAGCAAACAUGAACAUGGUAUGGGGUUUUUACCAUCAUUCUUCCAUUCUAGAAUUUGGUGUGUCGAGCUCUCUGCUGAGGUGCAGGACAAGAAUGUGCAACUGUUAUCAUCAUCAUCAUCAUCUCCACAAUGGAUGCUAACUGUGAUUCCAGUCCAGCCAGUAAGAAUGGUUCCAUCAUUGAGCCGUAUUGCUAGAUUGUCUGCUAGGAACUUGAAACUCAAAAUCUGAUCCACCUGUGGUGACACCGACACCAUUGCCACUGCUCUUAACGUCUCUGUCUGGCCUCUUUGUUCUAUGAAGUCGAAGGUCUUUGGGUCCAAAUAGCCUUCCACAAAUCCCACUACCUGAAGCUCCACCGUUGUCAAUGGCAGAACGAAUCUGUCAUAACAGGCAAGCCUCCAACGCAUGUCCUGAGGACAUUCUUGUUCAACAAAGUUGCAGAAAACUUCCCUGUUGGUGCCCAGUGACAGUUCAAACCUUCGGAGCAUUGCUUCAUCAGAUGAUUCCCACUUAAUAUCCCCAUGACCUAGAGGAAUGUAAGCCAUGGGCUUCAUAUGAAACAGUCCGAAGUCUCGCAAGCUAAAAGGAAAAUAGAACGGCAACUCUGUAAAAAGCCACACGGGCAUUAUCUACAUGGACCAGGCAACAGUCAGCGAAAGCUGAGCGAAUUGGAAGUCUACCUCCUGAGAGAACAAUGCAUGAAACUUUGGCACAAAACCAAGGCACCAUGCCUUGCUCACGCCAUUGAAUACUCCUUCCAGGUAGAUCUCCAUGUCGCCAUGCAGCUCCGUCGCCACCACAAACUGAAGGGAGGUGUUGUCGCCGCCACCGUAUUUGCCAUCAAAAAGCUCAAUGUCAUCAUCUAUCCAGCCUGCCCGAGCUGUGCAGCGCAAACCAAUGCCUUCGGGAGGC